GACGAACGCUGACGGUGUGCUUUAGACAUGCAAGUCGAACGAGAAAGCCCUUCGGGGUGAGUACAGUGGCGAACGGGUGAGUAACACGUGGGCAACCUGCCCCUCGCAGGGGGACAACCGGAGGAAACUCCGGCUAAUACCCCGUAAGCUUGUUGGGUCGCAUGACCCUUCAAGGAAAGGUAGCUUCGGCCGUCCGGCGAGGGAUGGGCCCGCGGUACAUUAGCUAGUUGGUGGGGUAACGGCCCACCAAGGCGACGAUGAUAGCUGGUCUGAGAGGAUGAUCAGCCACACUGGGGACUGAGACACGGCCCAGACUCCUACGGGAGGCAGCAGUCGGGAAUCUUGCGCAAUGGGCGAAAGCCUGACGCAGCAACACCGUGUGAGCGACGAAGGCC
RNAcentral lists this ribosomal RNA (395 nucleotides) under uncultured bacterium. RNAcentral describes it as "bacterial SSU rRNA". It matches the Rfam family "Bacterial small subunit ribosomal RNA", at positions 28 to 416 of the family's 1533-position model. The record is from RNAcentral.